RNAcentral lists this ribosomal RNA (1513 nucleotides) under Trametes cingulata. RNAcentral describes it as "16S ribosomal RNA". It matches the Rfam family "Bacterial small subunit ribosomal RNA". Lineage: Eukaryota; Fungi; Basidiomycota; Agaricomycetes; Polyporales; Polyporaceae. The record is from RNAcentral.
UAGGAAGAAUUUAAUUUUGGUUCCGAUUGAACGUUUUUCAGUAGUUUUAGACAUGCGAAUCGUUGUUUUCGACAUAUUUUAAUUUAAUUUUUUUAAAAUAUUAGAAAAUAAGGUGUAGAGGUGAGUAUGUUAAAUAAGAUACCCUAUAGUCUUCAUAAAUAGGAGAUAAUGAAAGGAAAUAAUUCUGCUAUAGGAUUCUAUUUAAUUUGAUUAUGGUAGUUGGUAGGGUAAAGGCCUACCAAGCCUACAAUCGAAAGUCAAGUUUGAAAGAACCUCUGGCCACAUUGGGAAUGAGAUCUCCCAAGUAGUGUAACACUACCAGCAGUCAAGAAUAUUAGUCAAUGCUCGCAAGAGUGAACUAGCUAACUGAAAUCAUAGAGUUUAUUAAAACUCAUGAUGUCGUAAGGGAAAAUAAUGAUAGUACCUUACUAAUAGUGUCGUCCAAAUCUGGUGCCAGAAGACUCGGUAAGACCAGAGACGCAAACGUUAAUCAUCAUAAACAGGCGUAAAGGGUUUGUAGGCAGCUUUCAGAAUACUAUAAUUAAAAAAAUAAAGUAGUAAAAUUGGAAGCUAGAAUCAAAAAGAGGUUAUAGUGUAUAACGCUUAGAGGAGGGCUGAUAUCCUUAGAUCCUAAGCAGAAUACUCAGGGCGAAGGCCACUUUCCACUAAUGAUUGACGCUGAGAAACGAAGGUUAGGGUAGGAAAUAGGAUGUUAGAUACCCCGGUACUCCUUUCUGUAAACGAUGAAUGGUAGUCAUUAGUUUAAUUAAAACUAGAGGCGAAGCUAACGCGUUAACCAUUCCGCCUUGUGAGUACUACUGCAAAGUAGAAAACAAAAAAAUUAGUCGGUCUCGAAGCAAACGGAGUGAAGCAUGUUAUUUAAUACGAUAAUCCGCGUAAAACCUUACCAGAACUUGCAUACAAACUUUUAAUAAGGAGUAUUUUAAAUUUUAAAAUACUUAAGUACAGGUGUUGCAUGGCUGUCUUCAGUUCGUGUUGUUAAACAUUAGGUUAAUUCCACUAACGAACGAAAUCCCUGUUAUUAAUUAAUUCUUAAUAACUAAUGAAUCUGAUAGAGAUUCAGCGGGGGCUAAGACAAGUCGUUAUGGCCCUCAUGUUCUGGGCUAUAGACGUGCCACUAUAACUUUUACAAAGUGACGCAAUACUUCUCAAAAGAAGUGGAGCUAAUCAUUAAAAAAAGUUAAGAUAUUAAUAUUAGACGGAUUGUCUCCUGUAAUUCGGAGGCAUGAAGAAGGAAUUCCGAGUAAUCGUUGAUUAGUAGCGCAACGGUGAAGCUAGUUUCGUGAUGAACUAACUGUCUGUCGCUGGGAAGAAGCCUUUAGUGGAGGAAACUGGGGGUAGAUAAGUUUAUUUCAUAGUUUAGUUUACGACUCAAGUUUUUUAGUCUUUAAAACAACUAUGUUAAGCUUAUUGGCUUUAGUUAAUUCGUUGAGGUAACAUCUCAAAAGUCAUAGCAGGGUAGCUGUACUGGAAAGUGCAGCUGGAUAAUAAA